UCCAGGUGCAGUAGUGCACACCUGUAAUCCCAGCCACUCAGGAGGCAGAGGCAGGAGGAUCACAAGUUUGAGGCCAGCCUUAGAAACACAGCAAGACCCUGUAUCUU
RNAcentral lists this small RNA (107 nucleotides) under Marmota monax (woodchuck). The record is from RNAcentral. Lineage: Eukaryota; Metazoa; Chordata; Mammalia; Rodentia; Sciuridae.